This 408-nucleotide ribosomal RNA is filed under the name uncultured bacterium. Its description in RNAcentral is "bacterial SSU rRNA". It matches the Rfam family "Bacterial small subunit ribosomal RNA", at positions 355 to 775 of the family's 1533-position model. The record is from RNAcentral.
UGGGGAAUAUUGCGCAAUGGGCGGAAGCCUGACGCAGCGACGCCGCGUGGGGGAUGAAGGCCUUCGGGUUGUAAACCCCUUUCAGCAGGGACGAAGGGUGACUGACGGUACCUGCAGAAGAAGCGCCGGCUAACUACGUGCCAGCAGCCGCGGUAACACGUAGGGCGCAAGCGUUGUCCGGAAUUAUUGGGCGUAAAGAGCUCGUAGGUGGCCUGUUGCGUCCGCUGUGAAAACUCAGGGCUUAACCCUGAGCCGGCAGUGGAUACGGGCAGGCUAGAGGUAGGUAGGGGAGAAUGGAAUUCCUGGUGUAGCGGUGAAAUGCGCAGAUAUCAGGAGGAACACCGGUGGCGAAGGCGGUUCUCUGGGCCUUACCUGACACUGAGGAGCGAAAGCGUGGGGAGCGAACAG